UACGUAGGGUGCUAGCGUUGUCCGGAAUUAUUGGGCGUAAAGAGCUCGUAGGCGGUGUGUCACGUCGGCCGUGAAAACCUGGGGCUUAACUCUGGGCGUGCGGUCGAUACGGGCAUCACUAGAGUUCGGCAGGGGAGACUGGAAUUCCUGGUGUAGCGGUGAAAUGCGCAGAUAUCAGGAGGAACACCGGUGGCGAAGGCGGGUCUCUGGGCCGAUACUGACGCUGAGGAGCGAAAGCAUGGGUAGCGAACAGG
This 254-nucleotide ribosomal RNA is filed under the name uncultured bacterium. RNAcentral describes it as "partial 16S ribosomal RNA". It matches the Rfam family "Bacterial small subunit ribosomal RNA", at positions 524 to 776 of the family's 1533-position model. The record is from RNAcentral.